This 253-nucleotide ribosomal RNA is filed under the name uncultured bacterium. RNAcentral describes it as "partial 16S ribosomal RNA". It matches the Rfam family "Bacterial small subunit ribosomal RNA", at positions 524 to 776 of the family's 1533-position model. The record is from RNAcentral.
UACGUAGGGGGCUAGCGUUGUCCGGAAUCAUUGGGCGUAAAGAGCGUGUAGGCGGUCCGGUAAGUCCGCUGUGAAAGUCGGGGGCUCAACCCUCGAAUGCCGGUGGAUACUGUCGGGCUAGAGUGCGGAAGAGGCGAGUGGAAUUCCUGGUGUAGCGGUGAAAUGCGCAGAUAUCGAGAGGAACACCUGCGGCGAAGGCGGGUUGCUGGGCUGAUACUGACGCUGAGGCGCGAAAGCCAGGGGAGCGAACGGG